RNAcentral lists this ribosomal RNA (501 nucleotides) under uncultured bacterium. RNAcentral's name for it is "bacterial SSU rRNA". It matches the Rfam family "Bacterial small subunit ribosomal RNA", at positions 28 to 534 of the family's 1533-position model. The record is from RNAcentral.
GAUGAACGCUGGCGGCGUGCCUCAAACAUGCAAGUCGAGCGGGGCUAUGUAAUAUCGCAAGGUAGAACAUAGCCUAGCGGCGAACGGGUGAGUAACACGUGGGUAACCUGCCUGGAAGACAGGGAUAACGAUUCGAAAGGGUCGCUAAUACCUGAUAAUAUCCUUUCAUCGCAUGGUGAUAGGAAGAAAGGGGAAACCCGCUUUCAGAUGGGCCCGCGUCCCAUCAGCUAGUUGGUAAGGUAAAGGCUUACCAAGGCGACGACGGGUAGCCGGUCUGAGAGGAUGUACGGCCACACUGGGACUGAGAUACGGCCCAGACUCCUACGGGAGGCAGCAGUUGGGAAUCUUAGGCAAUGGACGAAAGUCUGACCUAGCGACGCCGCGUGAGGGAAGAAGGCCUUCGGGUUGUAAACCUCUGUCAUGGGGGAAGAAGUAAGUGACGGUACCCCAAGAGGAAGCCCCUGCUAACUACGUGCCAGCAGCCGGGUAAAGAGUAGUACA